ACUAAAGAAAAUUUUAUUACUUUGGAAUCAAAGGUUAAAGGACCAUCAAAGAGCUACAGAGAGGCAAACACAGCCAACAAAUAAACCUACAAUGACAAUUUUCAGCUGGUUGGAAACUUGAUUUGCUUUGCUUCUACAACCUCCCAAGAUGAUGAAAAAUUUUCCCAAUUAAUCACUUGCAUCGGCCAAGAAACGCCUUCUAAACUUGAAUUUCCUUGGCGACCGAUUUGUAUCAGCAUCAGGCGAGGAGUGAAUUGGUGCAAUUCAUUAAUGGAUUCAUGAAGCAGAAAUACCGUGAUUCUUGGGAGGACAUAUCCAGGCCAGAAGAAACCUUUUGCUUCCUUGCGUUUCUCCGUCUACUACUACCGCCGACUCCUCCUUGAAUUCCUCCUCUUGCCCCCUUCCCCUUCUUGAAAUCUUGUUGGUGUUCCACCCCUAAACGAAAUUUCUGAAAGUGAGAGCCAAGUCCAAGAGAAUCCUCCACCUUAAACUCCCCAAAGUUCAUCUCAGAGAAAUAACGCUUGUCGUUGCAGCUGGAACUUUCACUGUAAGAUGCAUAGGAAGAAGAAGUAGAAGAAUACAUAGUAGCGGUGGCUGUAGCAGUAGCGGUAGCGGCAGCUUGACAGCUUCCUCCAAAUGACUC
Molecule: unclassified non-coding RNA, 643 nt
Filed under: Hevea brasiliensis (rubber tree)
Lineage: Eukaryota; Viridiplantae; Streptophyta; Magnoliopsida; Malpighiales; Euphorbiaceae
Source: RNAcentral